GUGCUUGUUUCUCUAGCACAUAUACUAAAUUAGAACAAUACCAACAGGAUUAGGAUGGCCCCUGUGCAAAGACAACAAGCAAAUUCGUGAAGCAUUCCACAUUUUU
Molecule: small nuclear RNA, 106 nt
Organism: Mustela putorius furo (domestic ferret)
Lineage: Eukaryota; Metazoa; Chordata; Mammalia; Carnivora; Mustelidae
Source: Ensembl